GCCGCUUUGGCCGAGUGGUUAAGGCGAUGGUUUUAAGCACCAUUAACGAAAGUUGCGUGAGUUCGACCCUCACAGGCGGCA
Molecule: transfer RNA, 81 nt
Filed under: Drepanopeziza brunnea f. sp. 'multigermtubi' MB_m1
Lineage: Eukaryota; Fungi; Ascomycota; Leotiomycetes; Helotiales; Drepanopezizaceae
Description: tRNA-Leu (TAA) (tRNA-Leu-TAA-1-1)
Rfam family: tRNA
About the family: Transfer RNA (tRNA) molecules are approximately 80 nucleotides in length. Their secondary structure includes four short double-helical elements and three loops (D, anti-codon, and T loops). Further hydrogen bonds mediate the characteristic L-shaped molecular structure. tRNAs have two regions of fundamental functional importance: the anti-codon, which is responsible for specific mRNA codon recognition, and the 3' end, to which the tRNAs corresponding amino acid is attached (by aminoacyl-tRNA synthetases). tRNAs cope with the degeneracy of the genetic code in two manners: having more than one tRNA (with a specific anti-codon) for a particular amino acid; and 'wobble' base-pairing, i.e. permitting non-standard base-pairing at the 3rd anti-codon position.
Source: RNAcentral